This 274-nucleotide long non-coding RNA is filed under the name Capsicum annuum. RNAcentral's name for it is "long non-coding RNA (CANN_LNC015535)". The record is from RNAcentral. Lineage: Eukaryota; Viridiplantae; Streptophyta; Magnoliopsida; Solanales; Solanaceae.
AGGUGUGUAGUGCACCACAUUUAUUUGGGGGAGGCUACAAGGCAUUAAGGAAUAUUUCCCUUUCUCGUGUUCUAUUUUGGGCUAUAGAGUCUAGGGUCAAGGAAUUUCUCUAACUCAAAUUUGCUCACGUUUUAGAUCAUGCCUCCCCGAGGAUCUGAUGUUUGUAGGAACUCUGUCGGGCCCUCUAUCCUACCUAAGGAUAAUGUAUAUGGAACUCGACCUGCUUAUACAGUGCAGACGCGAUCUAGGGUCACUAAUUCUGAUUGUACUGCCC